RNAcentral lists this transfer RNA (72 nucleotides) under Pseudomonadota bacterium. RNAcentral's name for it is "tRNA-Met". It matches the Rfam family "tRNA". From Rfam's summary of the family: Transfer RNA (tRNA) molecules are approximately 80 nucleotides in length. Lineage: Bacteria; Pseudomonadati; Pseudomonadota. The record is from RNAcentral. RNAcentral also lists the same sequence under 2 other names.
GGCGGUGUAGCUCAGUGGCAGAGCAGGGGACUCAUAAGCCCUUGGUCGGUGGUUCAAAUCCACUCGCCGCCA